CGCAUCCUUCCAAUAUGAUGAGAUACAUAUCUACCCAAACAGCUUCAUAGGAAGAGCCGGAAGAGGUAUGCUUGUCAAGUUGCGCAGGGACCUGGUAUCGUCAAAUACUUGGCCGCUUUUCGCUUCUCACAUGCAUCGAUGCUUAGGAUAUGGGAAUCUGA
This 161-nucleotide small nucleolar RNA is filed under the name Acidomyces richmondensis BFW. RNAcentral's name for it is "A. fumigatus snoRNA Afu_198". It matches the Rfam family "A. fumigatus snoRNA Afu_198". The record is from Rfam by way of RNAcentral. Lineage: Eukaryota; Fungi; Ascomycota; Dothideomycetes; Mycosphaerellales; Teratosphaeriaceae.